RNAcentral lists this long non-coding RNA (496 nucleotides) under Malus domestica (apple). RNAcentral describes it as "long non-coding RNA (MDOM_LNC018751)". Lineage: Eukaryota; Viridiplantae; Streptophyta; Magnoliopsida; Rosales; Rosaceae. The record is from RNAcentral.
UGAAGCUACGGAGGAGAGGAGUAUAAAUAUACCAAUAUUUGGCCCUGAAGUGGCCGGAAAACGGCUCAAAAGCCGUCGGGCCCUCGCCGGAAAACUGAGUUUCUUGCUUUCUCUGUUCCUGUGCAAAUCCGACGUUUAAAUCGCAAACUCUAGGUUAUAAUUAAACCACCAUGACGAAAAUGAAAGAAUCUUAAGCAUCCCGAGGCUUACCCAGGUCGGAGCACCAUGAAAUCUCACCGGGAAGUAUGGCGAUGGUGGCUGCCAUUGCUGCAGCUGUGCCUCGAGCACAGAGGAGAGAGAGAGAGCGGGACGAGGGGAACGGGGAGGUGCAGGGUAGACAGUUAUGGUUGUUGGUAGCGGUGAAGCUCGCCGGAGGGGCGAGGCGAGGUGGUGCCUCGGGUCGUUGUUGUUGCAGGGGGAUGAGGGAGAGAGACGAGGGAGAGUGUUCCAGAGGGUUCCCGAGAGAAUAGGAAGAUAAUUGACACGGGGAAGGAAG